RNAcentral lists this ribosomal RNA (438 nucleotides) under uncultured bacterium. RNAcentral describes it as "bacterial SSU rRNA". It matches the Rfam family "Bacterial small subunit ribosomal RNA", at positions 483 to 918 of the family's 1533-position model. The record is from RNAcentral.
AGAAGAAGCACCGGCUAACUACGUGCCAGCAGCCGCGGUAAUACGUAGGGUGCAAGCGUUAAUCGGAAUUACUGGGCGUAAAGGGUGCGCAGGCGGUUCUGUAAGUCAGAUGUGAAAUCCCCGGGCUUAACCUGGGGAACUGCGUUUGAAACUGCAGAGCUAGAGUGCGGCAGAGGGAGGUGGAAUUCCAUGUGUAGCAGUGAAAUGCGUAGAGAUAUGGAAGAACAUCGAUGGCGAAGGCAACCUCCUGGGCUAGCACUGACGCUCAUGCACGAAAGCGUGGGGAGCAAACAGGAUUAGAUACCCUGGUAGUCCACGCCCUAAACUACUGUCGAACUAGUUGUCGGGCCUUAAUAGGCUUGGUAACGUAGCUAACGCGUGAAGUUGACCGCCUGGGGAGUACGGUCGCAAGAUUAAAACUCAAAGGAAUUGACGGGG